GGCCGUGUGGCCUAAUGGUUAAGGCGUUGGUUUUCGGCACCAAAGAUCGAGGGUUCGAAUCCUUCCACGGUCG
Molecule: transfer RNA, 73 nt
Filed under: Fonsecaea pedrosoi CBS 271.37
Lineage: Eukaryota; Fungi; Ascomycota; Eurotiomycetes; Chaetothyriales; Herpotrichiellaceae
Description: tRNA-Arg (TCG) (tRNA-Arg-TCG-1-1)
Rfam family: tRNA
About the family: Transfer RNA (tRNA) molecules are approximately 80 nucleotides in length. Their secondary structure includes four short double-helical elements and three loops (D, anti-codon, and T loops). Further hydrogen bonds mediate the characteristic L-shaped molecular structure. tRNAs have two regions of fundamental functional importance: the anti-codon, which is responsible for specific mRNA codon recognition, and the 3' end, to which the tRNAs corresponding amino acid is attached (by aminoacyl-tRNA synthetases). tRNAs cope with the degeneracy of the genetic code in two manners: having more than one tRNA (with a specific anti-codon) for a particular amino acid; and 'wobble' base-pairing, i.e. permitting non-standard base-pairing at the 3rd anti-codon position.
Source: RNAcentral